AAUGUUUGUAUACUAUAAAACAAAUAUAAUUCCUUGUAUGACCUUGGUGUUUAUAUUAAUUCAGACUACUGGGCUUAUAAUUUAAAUCUGUAUGAUACUUCUGCUUUGAAUUUGAUCUUCUAGCUUCAAGCUUUCCAAGUGACUAAACUGCCAAAGACAAAGUAAUGAAAAAGCAAAGCUUCCUGUGAGCAGUAUCCUCCAGUUUAACAUUAAAUUUAUUUGGUUGACAUAUAAAAUCCAAAUGAUUUACACUGAAAUUAAAAACACAAUUUGGAUAAGAUAAAAUUCAAUCAUUUUCCUCAUAAUUUCUAACAUUCUUCAAAGAAACACCAACAGUAAUAUUUUUUGACUUAACUAUGACUGUGCAGAACAGACAACAUCUGAUCCCUGUGUGUUAAGAUGGAUAAAAACAGAGAUGUAAGCAAUAAGCAGAAGUUUGUUAUCACCUCCUACAUUGAUAUGGUUCUUUUUCUUUUACAUAUAAGCCAUUUUCAACAAUAUAAAAAAUACGAUAUACAUACAGAGUCAUACUGUCAGCCUCCUGACUGUACUCAAUCAAGCAUUGGUCAAAUUAUUUGGCUCUAACAAAACCCAGAAUUCUGAUUCUAAUCUUCGUCAGUUUAAAACCAUAAAUAAGAGGAUGCAUUAAAGGGGGAAUGACAAAAAACUGUAUUGCAAUAAAGUUUUGGAUGGUUUGAGAUAUAUUUUUAGAACCAUAUCUGCUAAACAUUACAUCAAAAAGUUUAGUCAUAAAAAAAAUGAGCAGGGAGGCUAAAUGUGGCACACAUGUCUGCAUGAACUUGGCCCUGUUUUCUGUAGAAUUCACACAGGUUUUGACGAGAUAGACAUAGGACAAACAUAUAAAAACACCAUGAAAAAUGUAAACUAUUAGAGCAAAAUAGCCGACUAUGUUAUCAACAAAAGUUUCAGCCGGAAAACAAGCAAGUUUAACAAUCGACCAGGUGACGCAAAACAAUCUGGAAACAUGAUUACUGCACAGCUUUAACCUUGAUGCAAGUAAAAUAGUAGUGGAUAUAACCAAAAAAGGUGUGAUCACAGAGAAACACACCAACUUCACUAGUAUCUUCCUGGACAUGAAGGAGUGGUACUCAAGCGGUCGACAUAUAGCCACAUAUCUGUCAUAUGCCAUUACUGCAAGAAUUGAUAGAUCAGCACAGGCAAAUGUGUUCACAACUAGAGACUGAACAAGACAUCCAUAAUAGGAGAUAACAUGGACUGGAGACAGCAGAUCCCAGAGAAACUUUGGAAAAAAAACCAGUUGAUCCGUACAGCCCAUUAAUGCAAAACGCACACAGUAGAAUAUACAUGGGUUCAUGCAGGUUUUUAUCUAUGAUGAUUGUCACAAUGAGAACUAAAUUAACAAACAAAAUUAAACAGUAACAGAGUAAAGUGAGAGAGAAGAUAACAAAGCGAUAUUUCUUUGUCUCAUUAAGACCAAAAAGAAGGACACUGAAGUGUUUUCCAUUGGGCUAAUUUCUCUCCCCCCCUGUUAAAGGAGGGGAUAACUCAGCCCCGAAUAGUCCCAGCUAUCUCUUCUCACAUUUAUAAAUGUAUUCUCAGAUUACAUCAACUAAAGGAGGGAAUUCAGAUGGACCAAUCAGGAAAGCUUAUAUGUCUGUCACCUGGAUACAAACAAAAUAAACAUUAAAAUUAGAGGAAUUUGGAUUCUCAAGCAUUUUUUAAAUGUUGUUCGGGUCACAAAUCUGGGAAUUCAAAAGUAAUUAUUGACUAAUCCAAUAAUCAAACCUAACUCAAAUUGACAACAUACAUUUGUCUACAGGUUUUCUUUCUUAUCUGAAAACUUUUCAAAAGUAAAAACAUGACAGGCAUGUACCAGAAGCGUCAACAUCAGUGUGAAUUCAAACUUUAGUGCAUUUCCAAACCAUCCAAAAUACAUUUACUAAGAAGAGAAGCAAAAAUUAACUUGAAAGACGUUCAAAGCAUUGAUCCACCAUUGAUUUACAACCCCAGUGGAUUGGAAACAAGCUGGUGACAUGACCAAAACAGGGUCGUAUCUUCAGCUGUAAGGCUUGGAUCUACCCCCUUCCCACUAAUUUCAGACUUUAAAAUUAAGGAUAUAAAAAUCUCAGGUCUUGUUGCUGAUGGUCUAAUGUGAUUUUGUAUUUCAUUAACACUCAUCAUGAUAAAUUUUGGUCUAUUUAAUAAAUGUCAAUGAACUCCUCAUAGGAGCUUUAAAGUCAGGUAAAGUGGAUGUUUUCUGGCCUUGUUGGUGUGUUAAUUUGUUGUGGUCAACUUGGUACUCUAUGUCAUCAUCUUGUAUGCUACAGUUUUCAUCCUCAUGUGGCACACAGUAGAAGAAGUUUAAGAACCACCUCUUUAAACCCAUUUUGGUAGCCUGGCUGGGCCAUCUAGUUGUGUGAAUCACUUGCCGUU
Non-coding RNA from Xyrichtys novacula (pearly razorfish), 2415 nucleotides. Lineage: Eukaryota; Metazoa; Chordata; Actinopteri; Labriformes; Labridae. The record is from the annotation of a GenBank genome assembly.